This 432-nucleotide RNase P RNA is filed under the name Planctomycetota bacterium. RNAcentral's name for it is "RNase P RNA component class A". It matches the Rfam family "Bacterial RNase P class A". From Rfam's summary of the family: Ribonuclease P (RNase P) is a ubiquitous endoribonuclease, found in archaea, bacteria and eukarya as well as chloroplasts and mitochondria. Its best characterised activity is the generation of mature 5'-ends of tRNAs by cleaving the 5'-leader elements of precursor-tRNAs. Lineage: Bacteria; Pseudomonadati; Planctomycetota. The record is from RNAcentral.
GGGGCGGAACGGAUGGCCGCCGGUCGGGAGAGUCCACGUGGCGCUCGGAAGGGUUGCCGCAUGGGAACGCCCCGACGGGAGGAAAGUCCGGGCUCCGCAGGGUGCGAUGGUGGGUAACGCCCACCGGCCGUGAGGUCAGGGAAAGUGCCACAGAAAACAGACCGCCGGCGGGGAAACUCGCCGGUAAGGGUGAAACGGUGAGGUAAGAGCUCACCAGCGGACCGGGUGACCGGUCCGGCUCGGUAAACCCCAUCGGGAGCAAGGCCAAGCAGGGGGGAGUCGGCCGCAAGGUCGCCACGGAACGGCCCGUUCCGUCCCACCCCCGGGUCGGCUGCCAGAGGCGCCGGGUAACCGGCGUCCUAGAGAAAUGGUCAUCACCGCGCCGCCUCCGGCGGUGCGGAACAAAACCCGGCUUACAGGUCCGCCCCGUCC